GGGUUUGCUGGCGGCUAAAGUUCGAUGGCCGGACGUCUGGCAGGGCAGGUUGGCUGCUUGGCGAGGCCUCACAUCGCGAGCUUGGUUUGGUACGUGUGUCUGUGUGGCAAGCAGCUGGACUGGACGGAUCAUCAGAGGGGAGCCUGUAACCGCCGGAUGUUUAUCGCCGAUGUAAUAACUCCAAGUGCGGUUGGCAAAAUUGUUUCUCACAUGGCCAUCAAGGCCAUGGACAAAAUGUAAACAAGGCAUGAUGCAUGAUGGCCCAGAGGUGUCAUGAUGGUCCAGGACGACUUCAGGUUCAUAAAAUGCGACUUGAAUCCAUCAAAAUCUACCUCUGCUAUGGUAUUGAGCUCGAUUUACGCAAACACGCUGAACACAGAGGCCAGCAGGCGGCUUGUGGAGUGUGAAUUCAACGUGCAAGAGCAGCAAAAACAGUUUUGUAUGUGAACGGCCGGAGGUCGCAUGAGGCCAAAAGGGUCAGGAUUAUGCGAAUUCAGAAUCCCACUGUAUUCCCAGCCUUGCACAAUCAACCUUGAAGGAAGAGCCUGCAAUGCCUGCAUGGAAUUUUGCAAGUGUCACCUGUUGGGGGCUGACAAUCGGGCCCAGAAUUUCUCAGAGAGAUUCCGAGUCACAUGCAACUGCAGCGCGCCCAUCGUCUGUUCUAAAAAGGCCAAGAAAACAUCAGACUCUGGUAGUCCAACAAUAAGUUCAGUAUUCAACAAAAAUAUAAAAUUUAUUGAAAACUCUUUAUUUUAAAAUCCAAAUUGGUAAAACGUUUUGUAACAAAUCUCAUGGCCCUGAUUUAAAAAGUACCUCUGAUCUCUGAUUAUUGAUAGAAUGUGAUAAAAACGAUAAAAACUAAUAAUUUUUAUAUUUAUGCUUAGGUUAAUUUUCAAAAAUGAGAAAAUCUGCUCAAGUAGGUCUGUGGACUUUCUCAGCGCUAAAAAUUGUGUACAGCGAAUUUUUUAAUAAGUCACUUGUAUUCUAAAUUUUUAAGUCAUUUUAUCACGGGCACGAUUGUGCCUCGUCCAUAAACUCCACAAGUUAUUUAUAGUCAGCAAUAUGUAUUAUGUAACUAUAUGAAUUAAUGGAAUAAGUUGAGAUUUCAAAAAGCACACAAGAAAAGCAGCCAAGCGGAAUUUUUUAUUUGAAAAAAUUUUUAUCACAUUUUUUAGGAGACUAUCAAUUAAAUAUUUGGAAUAAAAUAAAGAUCAAUCAGCAGUUUUGUCUGCGAAACUCUAAAGUUAGGUUAUGAAAAAGUUCAUUUAGCUUUUCGUAAUACAACAUACAACGCCUCUUACAUUUGACCCAAAAAGGUAUUUCUGUUUGCAAGAUGCCUGAAACAGAAAACAAAUAAGGCUGUCAACAUAAACUUUGCUCAAAUCUCAUGAGAAAAGUUUUCUAAAGAUGAUUUUGAAUUUGUCUGGAACAAUGUGCUUAUGAGAUAUGUGUCAUAUUGUCAUCGAUGUCAAAAAUAGAAAAUAUUUAGCUCUUUGUACUUAACCCCUACGGAGGCAAACCAAAUUUGUUCAGCUUUUUUAUAAUUUAACUGGAUAUUAACAUUGUUUCAAUGGAAUAUAAAGGUCUCAGCCAUGGUGUUUUGCGCGGCAGCUGGGCCAUUGACUUAGUUAAAGAAUUCCACAAUUUUUGCAGAAUGAGAAUACUUUUUAAAUAGGGUGGAUUGAAUUUAAAUUCGGCUUUUCCUCGAUGGGUUUUUGUGAGUUUGUAUUGUUUAAGAAAAACAAUAUCCUGCUCUACAUGUUUCGGCUGCGGGCUGCAGCCAUAAUUCAUGAGCUAUGAAAAACAUUUUGACAAAAAUUAGUACAAAAUUAAAUCUUUUUUCAAAAAUAAUUUUUCCUUCAAAUUGACAAUUUUUCGUGAAAAAUUAUUUAAAUUUACUUUUCUUCACAAACAAUAAUUUUUAACCAAAAUUUGACAUUUAAUUCAAAAAAUUUUUCAAAAAACAAAAUAAGUUUUUAUAAUAAUUUUGGUCAGAAUAUUUAAACGUGUGUUUUGAGCGUACCUUUCUCGGCGGUGGCCGAAACAUGUAGAGCAGGAUAUUGUUUUUCUUAAACAAUAAAAACUCACAAAAACCCAUCGAGGAAAAGCCGAAUUUAAAUUCAAUCCACCAUGCAUCAACCCUCAAUCGUGAACUUCUACUACAAAACUUUUUAAAUAGUUUGGAAUAGAUCUUAAAAAAUUUGAUUUUUUUUAUCUCCUUCAGGGCAAGGCAAAUGAUCAUAACUUUUGUCGCCUGGGGGUUAUAGUAAGUUAUUAUGCAAACUAGAACAGGGCAAAAGUAGUAUAUCUUUGGGAUUUAAAAAAAAAAAUCAAGUUAAUUGAGACAAAUUUAUGGUUCUGGUUGGCAUAUUGGGCAUAUUGAGAUGAUAUUAUAAGUUAAUAAGGGUAACCUUACUUGGUCCGAAAGGAAUUCGUUCAAAAUGCCUUUUCAGACCAGACAUCAUCUGAAAUCUGAAAUAUGGAAACGGCCAAAAAAAUCGGAAAACACGCGACUUACUAGGUGAUCGAAGUACACAUGUGCAUUGUGCUAACGUUAAUGAUGAAUUUAAGGGACUUUAAUUACAUAAAUUUAGGCUUCUCAUGCGUAAAUAUUCAUUUAAUUAUUUAAUUUUAAAAGAUAAUUUCGUUUAUUGCAAAUUAAAUCAGUCUUUUUAUUCGAAGUGGCCUCUGAAAAUCCUAAUUUAGCUCCUUCUCAAGACGUUAGUGAAGUUGGCGAUAUCGCCAACAGAUUUUGGCAUUUUUUUAAAAGUGGAGAAGUUGGCAAUAUCACCAACUUUUUUUUAUCUCAAAAAAGGGCUAUCAAAGAAUGCUGAUUGCGUUCUGGGGGAUGCAUUUGGCCUUUUAUAAGUAACCCGUUAUGCAUUAGAUCUCUAGAAGUACAUAAAAUAUGGGUUUUUCGCGAUUUACACCCUCACGGCCGGGUCCAGCCGCUUUCUAUCCCACCCCAACUUACACCCUUGAGACCCUUACAUAAAAAACAACCCUUACAUCGCGGCUGAACCCGGCCUUCUAAUUUA
This is a long non-coding RNA of Neocloeon triangulifer, 3038 nucleotides long. RefSeq lists it as uncharacterized. The transcript has 3 exons. The record is from RefSeq and is a predicted model, not a curated record. Lineage: Eukaryota; Metazoa; Arthropoda; Insecta; Ephemeroptera; Baetidae.